UACGUAGGGGGCUAGCGUUGUCCGGAAUCAUUGGGCGUAAAGCGCGUGUAGGCGGUCCGGUAAGUCCGCUGUGAAAGUCGGGGGCUCAACCCUCGAAAGCCGGUGGAUACUGUCGGGCUCGAGUACGGAAGAGGCGAGUGGAAUUCCUGGUGUAGCGGUGAAAUGCGUAGAGAUCGGCAGGAACACCCAGGGGGAAACCAGUCGACUGGGCAUCUACUGACGCUGAGGUGCGAGAGCGUGGGGAGCGAACCGG
RNAcentral lists this ribosomal RNA (253 nucleotides) under uncultured bacterium. Its description in RNAcentral is "partial 16S ribosomal RNA". It matches the Rfam family "Bacterial small subunit ribosomal RNA", at positions 524 to 776 of the family's 1533-position model. The record is from RNAcentral.